Molecule: ribosomal RNA, 481 nt
Filed under: uncultured bacterium
Lineage: Bacteria
Description: bacterial SSU rRNA
Rfam family: Bacterial small subunit ribosomal RNA
Source: RNAcentral
AUUGAACGCUGGCGGCAUGCCUUACACAUGCAAGUCGAACGGCAGCACGGGAGCAAUCCUGGUGGCGAGUGGCGAACGGGUGAGUAAUAUAUCGGAACGUGCCCAGUCGUGGGGGAUAACGUAGCGAAAGCUACGCUAAUACCGCAUACGAUCUAUGGAUAAAAGCGGGGGAUCGCAAGACCUCGCGCGAUUGGAGCGGCCGAUAUCAGAUUAGGUAGUUGGUGGGGUAAAAGCCUACCAAGCCUUCGAUCUGUAGCUGGUCUGAGAGGACGACCAGCCACACUGGAACUGAGACACGGUCCAGACUCCUACGGGAGGCAGCAGUGGGGAAUUUUGGACAAUGGGCGCAAGCCUGAUCCAGCAAUGCCGCGUGCAUGAAGAAGGUCUUCGGAUUGUAAAAUUCUUUUAUUGGGAAAGAAAGAUAUGGCUAGGAAAUGAGCUAUAUUUGACGGUACCCAUUGAAUAAGCCCCGGCUAACUAC